AUCUCCUUUAUUCAUCAGCUCGUAACCGUUGACUCUCAAUCAUGAAUCUUAUAAACACAUUAUUGCUUCCCUUCAUAUUUUCAUACCCUCCGAAUCUGUUUGGUCAUUUCCUUGUUCAAGGUGGAGAUUGAAAUGAAAGAAUAUGAUACAUGGGACCAAGGUCGAUUUUGUUUUUGCAGAGCCACUAUGUAUGAAGGGAAUUACAUAGCUUCAAAAGCUCCUUCAUCUGCUUUAAUUUCAAUGUUCGCAUGCAUAAGUAUUUUACUUUCAAAACAAAUGUUGUAGAUAGGUAUGACAUGUUUGUUGUUGCCAAUGAACAUACCGGUAUUAAAAUAAUGCAGUUAAUCAAUCUUCACCAUAUGCCAUAAAUUCCAGUAGGGUGAAUACAUUGCCUUCCUAAAUUUUGCAUUUGAAAUUGUUUUUUUUUUUUUUACUUAAUGUAGUUCUACUUCUAUUUCUAGAAGGGGCAUUGCAGAAGUAUUGAUGAAACUUUUGGGUAUGGCUAUUCUCUUCCAUCUACUUGGUAAUCCUCGUACUGCACCAAAAUAUAUUAGCAUGAUUUUUGGGUGCAUGCUGAGGAAAAGUCUUCAUAACCUUCUCUAUCCAUCGCCGCCAAUGAGGACAAUUGGUCAAGUGACAAUAACAUGCAUAUAUAAUAAUCACGUUCAAUUCCCUACAUUCUUUAGAAGACUCUGCUCAAUUUCCAUUAAGUUGGUUGUUUAUUUCAACUUCAAUCCCUUUUUGUCUAUUUUUUUUUCUUAAUUAUUUAUCUUAAUUUUGAGAUUCAUUCUUGGUGUUCUCGAUUUUUAUUUUUGUUUCACUGUAUUCUUUAAAAGUUCAUAGAAAACCAAUGCUUUCAAUCAAUCUCUCUCUUUGCUUAUCAA
Glycine soja is the source of this 884-nucleotide long non-coding RNA. RefSeq lists it as uncharacterized. The transcript has 3 exons. NCBI's taxonomy places the organism in Eukaryota, Viridiplantae, Streptophyta, Magnoliopsida, Fabales, Fabaceae. The record is from RefSeq and is a predicted model, not a curated record.